UAUAUAGAUGCGUUACAUCGCAAUACACAUUCUAAUACUUUAUAGAGUUUGUGAUAAACGCAGGCAACAAGUGCGCUCCACAAGCCCGAAUGAACGGGCCUGUUUCGCGACUCGUAAACCCACAGUAAGUGCACAGGUGUAGGAGCGGAUGAGCAGGGCGUGCACAUGCCUCGUAAGGCCAGCUACAACCCAGUCAAAACUCGAUAAUGAUCCUUCCGCAGGUUCACCUACGGAAA
This 236-nucleotide unclassified non-coding RNA is filed under the name uncultured fungus. RNAcentral describes it as "sequence contains ITS1". The record is from RNAcentral. Lineage: Eukaryota; Fungi.